RNAcentral lists this ribosomal RNA (389 nucleotides) under uncultured bacterium. Its description in RNAcentral is "bacterial SSU rRNA". It matches the Rfam family "Bacterial small subunit ribosomal RNA", at positions 30 to 418 of the family's 1533-position model. The record is from RNAcentral.
AUUGAACGCUGGCGGCAUGCCUUACACAUGCAAGUCGAACGGCAGCACGGGAGCAAUCCUGGUGGCGAGUGGCGAACGGGUGAGUAAUAUAUCGGAACGUGCCCAGUCGUGGGGGAUAACGUAGCGAAAGCUACGCUAAUACCGCAUACGAUCUAUGGAUGAAAGCGGGGGGAUCGCAAGACCUCGCGCGAUUGGAGCGGCCGAUAUCAGAUUAGGUAGUUGGUGAGGUAAAGGCUCGCCAAGCCGACGAUCUGUAGCUGGUCUGAGAGGACGACCAGCCACACUGGGACUGAGACACGGCCCAGACUCCUACGGAGGCAGCAGUGGGGAAUUUUUGGGACAAUGGGCGCAAGCCUGAUCCAGCAAUNCGCGUGCAGGAUGAAGCCUGG